CAGCAACAUCAAACGUAAACAACUGAUUAUUUAGGAAAAAAAAAUUGUAUAUCCGUGCCGUAUUCGUCAUCGUUUUGGUUGAACUAUAUUGGUUAGGUAGUUUUAAGUAAAACAACUUUAACUUGGUGUUCUAUAAACACUUUUUGCGCGUUUUGUGUUGUGGUAACUUAAGGAGCAAUAAAUUGAUUUGGUCGCAUUAUCUCUCUGGUCCCCAUUACGCGAAUUAGCCAGAACAGCUGCUUGCAAAACUUGUUCCGCUUGCGGGUCGGUUGCAGCAAAAUGAUACACAGUUUGUUUAUCGUAAACAGUAGCGGCGAUGUGUUUUUGGAGAAACAUUGGCGCAGUGUUGUAUCACGCACCUGUGUGUCCUACUUUCUCGAUGUUCAUCGGGAAUCAGCCAAUAACGUACCACCAGUGCUUUCCACUCCCCAUCAUUACCUGGUUUCAAUUCAACGCAAUGGAAUCUCGCUUGUAGCCGCCUGUAAGCAGGAGUUUCCACCACUGUUUGUGAUUGAAUUCCUACACCGUGUAGUGGACACUUUCGAGGACUACUUUUCCGAAUGUAAUGAAAAUGUCAUCAAGGAAAACUACGUGAUCGUGUACGAGCUGUUGGACGAGAUGCUAGAUAACGGGUUCCCACUCGCAACGGAGUGCAACAUAUUAAAAGAGCUUAUCAAACCACCGAAUAUUUUGCGCACGAUUGCCAACUCUGUCACGGGGAAAUCCAACAUCAGCGGCACACUUCCUUCCGGUCAAUUGUCGACAAUACCAUGGCGACGCACCGGUGUCAAGUACACGAACAACGAGGCGUAUUUCGACGUUGUGGAAGAAGUCGAUGCUAUUAUAGAUAAGAAUGGGCAAACUAUCUUCGCCGAAAUUCAGGGCUAUAUUGACUGUUGUAUAAAGCUCAGCGGUAUGCCAGAUCUGUCCCUUUCGUUCAUGAAUCCACGUCUCUUCGACGAUGUAUCAUUCCAUCCGUGCGUCCGUUUCAAACGCUGGGAAUCGGAGCGAAUCUUGUCAUUCGUACCACCCGACGGUAACUUUCGACUAAUGUCAUAUCACGUCGGUUCCCAGAACAUUGUCGCCAUUCCCAUCUACGUUCGUCACAAUCUUGUGCUUAAAUCUGGCGAACAGUCCCGGCUGGACAUUACCGUUGGACCGAAAACGACAAUGGGACGGUCGGUGGAAGGUGUAAAGCUGGACAUUUGCAUGCCCAAAGCAGUGACAAACUGCUCGUUGGUAGUAAAUCAGGGCAAGUACACAUACGACACGGUGAACAAGAUUCUUCACUGGGACGUUGGCCGGAUCGAUGCGGCGAAGCUGCCAAAUAUUCGUGGAACGGUUUCUGUUGCGUCCACUAACUCUACUCUCGAAACCACAAUUGACAGAGUACACUUCACCAUCUCACAGAUGGCAGUUUCCGGGCUGAAGGUGAAUCGGUUGGACAUGUACGGCGAAAAGUACAAACCCUUCAAAGGUGUAAAGUAUGUGACGAAGGCAGGCAAAUUCCAAAUACGCAUGUAAGCCUGCGCUGUUGUCUUGCUUUAAGCAAAACCUUCUAAUUAAGGCUCAGCGACGAAACAAUGAAACCGAAACCAGUAACAGUGGAGAUCAGCUGCUAUGCAAGGAAGGUAAAACAUUUCCCGGACGAAACAAAGCGGACGAUCGUUAGAGAUGUUGUCGUUUGAAAUAUCAUAAUGAUCGCACGACAAUGUAUGCUGCGCAGUGAUCUCCACAACUUCAUCAUGCGUUUUCCCCAGUUUUCUUCGCCUGUUUUCACUGUUCCAAUCAUUUCUCGGAAAAGGUAAUAAAUGAGCUUUAAAUAUGACUCACUUUGUGCCUGCUGGUUCGGCAGCAUGCAGCGGAUUGAUUGAUUUUCGGAAAACUCGUUCAUUUCCACCCUUGAAGGUAGGGUUUUCGGUUGUGAUAGUUUUAUGUUUUUUGGAAAUUUUUGAGCAUAUCAGAAGAAUCGAACUCUGGUCAGCAUACGAGAGAAACACUAAGCAUAAUCUGCAAACGACAAACGGAACGAAACCUGUGUGACGCAAAGUCACUCGUGUAACGUCAUAUCAUUCGCUCCUGAAAAUUAACAUGCCAUCAACAAUUAGUUGCGACCGUGUCCAUGUUCCGCCGAGAUGUCAUUCCACAACCCAGAUUAGUUCGCCGGUACAAAACACGAUCAUCGUUUGCCAGAUGUUUUUUCCGCCCCGCAGCAACUUGUGGCUACAUCAAUCCUUCGUGCUCAUGUACCGAAGUUGUAAAUUAUUGCUCGUUACUAUCAUCACCGUUGCGGUUGUAGGCACAUUUUACCAGAAACAUUGUCCUACAACCGGGUACGAUUGGAAUGUUUAGUAUCAAAAGAAAAUACUUUGAUUUUGUGUAGAAGUUUUUUUAUGUCAACUGUUCACUUGACGUUACAAGGACAUAUUUUUUUUAAAUGAAAUUAAUAAUUAUAAUGGCGGCAUGGGUUAAAUUGGAUCUACAUUUUCAUCCUAAUGGUGUGACUUUUUAUUAACUAAUUCUCAUAAUUGGACUGAAAUUAACCACCACUGGAAAUUGACCACUCUUGGUGCUGCGUUAAUCUUGAACCUGCAGCUGUAAAUUAUUCACAUGCUGUGUUCGUCUUUUGUGUAAAUAAAUUUGUGAUUAAUACAGAGUUUUUU
Molecule: RNA transcript, 2663 nt
Organism: Anopheles funestus (African malaria mosquito)
Lineage: Eukaryota; Metazoa; Arthropoda; Insecta; Diptera; Culicidae
Gene: carmine
Gene name: AP-3 complex subunit mu-1
Exons: 9
Source: RefSeq, a predicted model, not a curated record